AGAAUGAAAUUUAUAGUAAGAGGAAAAUCCGUCGACUUUAAAAAUCGUGAGGGUUCAAGUCCCUCUAUCCCCAAAAAG
Molecule: transfer RNA, 78 nt
Filed under: Pilea johnsii
Lineage: Eukaryota; Viridiplantae; Streptophyta; Magnoliopsida; Rosales; Urticaceae
Description: partial tRNA-Leu
Source: RNAcentral